Molecule: ribosomal RNA, 508 nt
Filed under: uncultured bacterium
Lineage: Bacteria
Description: partial 16S ribosomal RNA
Rfam family: Bacterial small subunit ribosomal RNA
Source: RNAcentral
GACGAACGCUGGCGGCGUGCCUAAUACAUGCAAGUCGAACGCUUCUUUCCUCCCGAGUGCUUGCACUCAAUUGGAAAGAGGAGUGGCGGACGGGUGAGUAACACGUGGGUAACCUACCCAUCAUAGGGGGAUAACACUUGGAAACAGGUGCUAAUACCGCAUAACAGUUUAUGCCGCAUGGCAUAAGAGUGAAAGGCGCUUUCGGGUGUCGCUGAUGGCUGGACCCGCGGUGCAUUAGCUAGUUGGUGAGGUAACGGCUCACCAAGGCCACGAUGCAUAGCCGACCUGAGAGGGUGAUCGGCCACACUGGGACUGAGACACGGCCCAGACUCCUACGGGAGGCAGCAGUAGGGAAUCUUCGGCAAUGGACGAAAGUCUGACCGAGCAACGCCGCGUGAGUGAAGAAGGUUUUCGGAUCGUAAAACUCUGUUGUUAGAGAAGAACAAGGACGUUAGUAACUGAACGUCCCCUGACGGUAUCUAACCAGAAAGACACGGCUAACUACGUG